RNAcentral lists this ribosomal RNA (253 nucleotides) under uncultured bacterium. RNAcentral's name for it is "partial 16S ribosomal RNA". It matches the Rfam family "Bacterial small subunit ribosomal RNA", at positions 524 to 776 of the family's 1533-position model. The record is from RNAcentral.
UACGGAGGGUGCAAGCGUUAUCCGGAUUCACUGGGUUUAAAGGGUGCGUAGGCGGACAGGUAAGUCAGUGGUGAAAUCUCUGGGCUUAACCCAGAAACUGCCGUUGAUACUAUUUGUCUUGAAUAUCCUGGAGGUAGGCGGAAUAUGUCAUGUGGCGGUGAAAUGCUUAGAUAUGACAUAGAACACCGAUAGCGAAGGCAGCUUACUACAGGAUGAUUGACGCUGAGGCACGAAAGCGUGGGGAGCAAACAGG